UACGGAAGGCAGCAGUGGGGAAUAUUGCACAAUGGGCGCAAGCCUGAUGCAGCCAUGCCGCGUGUAUGAAGAAGGCCUUCGGGUUGUAAAGUACUUUCAGUCGUGAGGAAGGUGUUAAGGUUAAUAACCUUAGCAAUUGACGUUAGCGACAGAAGAAGCACCGGCUAACUCCGUGCCAGCAGCCGCGGUAAUACGGAGGGUGCGAGCGUUAAUCGGAAUUACUGGGCUAAAGGGCACGCAGGCGGUUAAUUAAGUUGGAUGUGAAAUCCCCGGGCUUAACCUGGGAAUGGCAUUCAAGACUGGUUAGCUAGAGUCUUGUAGAGGGGGUAGAAUUCCAUGUGUAGCGGUGAAAUGCGUAGAGAUGUGGAGGAAUACCGGUGGCGAAGGCGGCCCCUGGGACAAAGGCUGACGCUCAUGUGCGAAAGCGUGGGGAGCAAACAGGGAUUAGAUACC
Molecule: ribosomal RNA, 453 nt
Filed under: uncultured bacterium
Lineage: Bacteria
Description: bacterial SSU rRNA
Rfam family: Bacterial small subunit ribosomal RNA
Source: RNAcentral